GGGCUCGAACCACCAACCUUUCGGUUAACAGCCGAACGCGCUAACCGAUUGCGCCACAGAGACAGGUACUGUCAGUUCUACUGGGCGCUAUAGGAAGGGCGCACGCACGAAACUUCCUCCGUCCCUUGCAUCCUCAGGGCCCGCCCGGCAGGACGACUGAGCAGGCCUUGGAAGACCGGAGAGAUUGGAGCGAAUGGGGAGGAAUUGAGGGGAAAAUGGAGAUAGAACCUGAAAGAGCCCCAAACGCCAGAACCUGUAGCUCCCCAAGAAUAAGAUCUUCCAGAAGAACUAGACCCAAAACUAGCCGUUGGGGAACACCGAAAUCCUUGGAGGAGCAACAUCCGCAUGACCCUCUGUGUUCCUUUAGGCAAAAGGACUUGCUUCCAUUGUUUGUUCAAUUGUUUGUGUUUGUUAAAUAAAUAAAACGAUUUUCAUGUAUCUUUGAAAUUACUUUGGCGCUACUAUUUUAUGAUUGCAA
Molecule: long non-coding RNA, 478 nt
Filed under: Homo sapiens (human)
Lineage: Eukaryota; Metazoa; Chordata; Mammalia; Primates; Hominidae
Description: HSALNT0295240
Source: RNAcentral